This 253-nucleotide ribosomal RNA is filed under the name uncultured bacterium. RNAcentral describes it as "partial 16S ribosomal RNA". It matches the Rfam family "Bacterial small subunit ribosomal RNA", at positions 524 to 776 of the family's 1533-position model. The record is from RNAcentral.
UACGUAGGGACCAAGCGUUGUCCGGAAUCAUUGGGCGUAAAGAGCGUGUAGGCGGCUUGUUAAGUCUUGCGUGAAAUCUCGGGGCUCAACCCCGAGCGGUCGUGAGAAACUGGCAGGCUAGAGUGCGGGAGAGGAGAGUGGAAUUCCAGGUGUAGCGGUGAAAUGCGCAGAUAUCAGGAAGAACACCCGUGGCGAAGGCGGCUCUCUGGAACGCAGCUGACGCUGAGACGCGAAAGCGUGGGGAGCAAACAGG